This 1185-nucleotide long non-coding RNA is filed under the name Brassica rapa (field mustard). RNAcentral describes it as "long non-coding RNA (BRAP_LNC008881)". The record is from RNAcentral. Lineage: Eukaryota; Viridiplantae; Streptophyta; Magnoliopsida; Brassicales; Brassicaceae.
GUUUUGAGAAAAGAAAAGCUCUAUGCCAAUCUAAAGAAGUGCACUUUUUGCACAGAUAACUUGGUCUAAUCUAGUGUGUCAUAUCUAGAGGCGAUCAUUAUAGGGUAGUAUCAAGAGACUUUCCGCCUCUCUUGUGUCACCUUUCGAUCCACAUCCCUUGAUCGUUUGUUGCUUUCGGGCUCAUUCGGUGCAAGGCUUAUCCCUUACCAAUUUCAGAGUGUAUUCCUUGGGAGGUUUUUAUCAUUUGGUAUCAGAGCCACUCUGAAAGCGGUAUUCACUUCUGUUAUUCACCAUUCUCAUCUAUCCAUCUUCUAAAAAAAAAAAGAAAAAAAAAAGUUUUGUUAUUUAUGUUCUACAAAUCUGCUGGAUCUUUUGGGAAUUGUGUAUUCAAGUUUUUCUUUCUUCGGAGAGCAAGAUUUGAGGACAAAUCUUUUUGAAGAGGAGGAGUAUGAUGUGAUCAUGGGCUGAUAUAUGAAUCUACGGACAUGAAAGACAUUCAGAAAUUGAUCCAUGAUGUUAGGUAGCAUGUCCAGCCCAUUUUUAUCAUGUUACAAGCCCAAGAAGAUUCAAAAUCAAGUGGUUUCUUUGCUGUCCAAAGAGAGUGACGAAAAUUAGGUGGUUAAUUGCAUGGAAAGCUUCUCUCUCCUACAUGCAAAGAAUGCUUGUUUCAAGAACACUCUCUCUCCUCCAUGCACUAGUUUUAUCAUUUCCAAUGUAAUAACUAUCUAGCUUUGUGAGCAAGUUUAGUCUCUUAUAAAUAAGUUGUAAUCUCCAAUGAAAUAAAAUAAGCUUUGAGUGAUUAUUUUUGGAACCUUGAGAGUGAUUCUCAAACUUGUUUUCGAUCAUGGUGUGUCAUAUCCAUUGGUAAAAACUUUUAUGAUUGUUGGUGUGUAAUAUCCUUCAGUCUAACUUGGUCUAAUCUAGUGUGUCAUAUCUAGAGGCGAUCAUUAUAGGGUAGUAUCAAGAGACUUUCCGCCUCUCUUGUGUCACCUUUCGAUCCACAUCCCUUGAUCGUUUGUUGCUUUCGGGCUCAUUCGGUGCAAGGCUUAUCCCUUACCAAUUUCAGAGUGUAUUCCUUGGGAGGUUUUUAUCAUUUGGUAUCAGAGCCACUCUGAAAGCGGUAUUCACUUCUGUUAUUCACCAUUCUCAUCUAUCCAUCUUCUAAAAAAAAAAGAAAAAAAAAAG